CAUCAUGAUCUAGCAAUAGAUUGAUGGCGACCGGCGCACGGGUGAGUAACACGUAUCCAACCUUCCGUUAACUCGGGGAUACCCUUUCGAAAGAAAGAUUAAUACCGGAUAGUAUAGCAUUUCCCCUUGGUUUUGCUAUUAAAGAAUUUCGGUUAUCGAUGGGGAUGCGUUCCAUUAGUUUGUGGGCGGGGUAACGGCCCACCAAGACUACGAUGGAUAGGGGUUCUGAGAGGAAGGUCCCCCACAUUGGAACUGAGACACGGUCCAAACUCCUACGGGAGGCAGCAGUGAGGAA
Molecule: ribosomal RNA, 295 nt
Filed under: uncultured Bacteroides sp.
Lineage: Bacteria; Pseudomonadati; Bacteroidota; Bacteroidia; Bacteroidales; Bacteroidaceae
Description: partial 16S ribosomal RNA
Rfam family: Bacterial small subunit ribosomal RNA
Source: RNAcentral